CUGAGAUCCAUAAUUCAUAAGUAUUAGCACUCGAGGAGCGUUUUAAUGAAGCCCCUUUGGCCUCGAGGUCAGGCGAGCAUCCGUUAUUCAGGAUAACACCGGAGAGAAGGAGAUGGUGGAAGACACUGCCGUUUAAGUCACGUGCUCCUAAUUGACCCGUGCACUCGUAUCUGUUUUGUCAUUUAAAUAACUCGCCGUAGUAAGCUUUCAAUUAAGCACGGGAUGGCUGCGGAGUCCCUGUGCGAGAUUAAUGAGCUGAGCUAUUGGAAUGUCCCCGAAUGACAAAGCUGCACCACACCUUAAGAGCUUGGAGGUGGUGGAGGUUGAGGUGGAGGUGGUGGAGGAGGGGGGAGCCAGGAUGUUGAACCCCAGGAAUCAGAGACUUGCUGAAAGUUAAACGUUCUGGCCUGCUUUAUUUUUUUGCGUCUGUGGUGCCACCUGGAACCCUCGACCUCGCCGAUUUUAGCGUCGUAUUUACGAAUCGUCGUGUCCGUGCGGGAGUCGAGCGACCCGCUGAGAACGAGGAACGAAUAACCGAGAGGAAGAGGAAGUGAGGACGGAAACACAGGUGCGCGAGCUUUCCCGGCUGCUUCUUUCGGAUUUAUCCGCCUUCCCCGGCGCUCCCCUCCUGCAGCUCCGCCAUCCCGGGAACGUUUCAUCUUCUUUGGGGAAUUUCACGCCGGUUAGUCCUUGUCAUCAGUGAACUUCGCAACGUAAUAAAAAUACCGCCGCCAUAUUUUUUUAUUCCACUACUCUUUUUUUUUUUUGAGGACAGAUCCGAGGCCGGAUUCCCUCCCGUUACCGUUUCCUGUAGUCGAGUCCGUGUGUUAUCCGGUACGCGUGGUAAAAAAAAGCCGAGGCUCCUGUGGGAGAUCGGAGACUUUUUUCGCCGUUGUGUGUCUGUCAUAUAUAUGUUUUCCUUUUUUUCCGGACGUGUUCGAGUCAUGUUUGAGUUCGAGUCAUGUUUGCCUCAACACGGAUGUGUGUUUUUAUUUUUACGCCUGGCCAUGAGUGUAUCCUUUGUGUGUGUACCUUUGACUUAUUUUUUUUGUUUCGUGUGUGUGAGCAUGGGAUUUUGAGUUUUAUAGACAUUCCUUUUGGUUUGCGUUUACUUGCGUUAUCAAAAAAAAAAAA
Ictalurus punctatus (channel catfish) is the source of this 1134-nucleotide long non-coding RNA. Lineage: Eukaryota; Metazoa; Chordata; Actinopteri; Siluriformes; Ictaluridae. The record is from Ensembl.